GGAGAGCUGGCCGAGUGGCUGAAGGCGCGCCCCUGCUAAGGGCGUAUGGGUUAAUCCCCAUCGAGGGUUCGAAUCCCUCGCUCUCCGCCA
This 90-nucleotide transfer RNA is filed under the name hydrothermal vent metagenome. Its description in RNAcentral is "tRNA-Ser-GCT". It matches the Rfam family "tRNA". From Rfam's summary of the family: Transfer RNA (tRNA) molecules are approximately 80 nucleotides in length. Their secondary structure includes four short double-helical elements and three loops (D, anti-codon, and T loops). The record is from RNAcentral.